This 128-nucleotide ribosomal RNA is filed under the name Peromyscus maniculatus bairdii (prairie deer mouse). Lineage: Eukaryota; Metazoa; Chordata; Mammalia; Rodentia; Cricetidae. The record is from RNAcentral.
GUCCCUGGUCAUACCGUACUGGACAUGCCUGAAGCUAAGCAGGGUUGGACCCGGUUAGUACUUGGAUGGGAGACCCUAUCUGCAAAGAUAUAUCUUUGUGUACAUGCACAUGCAGGUGUCCAUGGAGG